This 301-nucleotide ribosomal RNA is filed under the name uncultured bacterium. Its description in RNAcentral is "partial 16S ribosomal RNA". It matches the Rfam family "Bacterial small subunit ribosomal RNA", at positions 509 to 807 of the family's 1533-position model. The record is from RNAcentral.
CAGUCGCCACGGUAAUACGUAGGGUGCAAGCGUUAAUCGGAAUUACUGGGCGUAAAGCGUGCGCAGGCGGUUUGUUAAGACAGAUGUGAAAUCCCCGGGCUCAACCUGGGAACUGCAUUUGUGACUGGCAAGCUAGAGUGUGGCAGAGGGGGGUGGAAUUCCGCGUGUAGCAGUGAAAUGCGUAGAUAUGCGGAGGAGCACCGAUGGCGAAGGCAGCCCCCUGGGCCAACACUGACGCUCAUGCACGAAAGCGUGGGGAGCAAACAGGAUUAGAUACCCCUGUAGUCCCUGUCUCUUAUAC